RNAcentral lists this ribosomal RNA (633 nucleotides) under uncultured Afipia sp. RNAcentral describes it as "bacterial SSU rRNA". It matches the Rfam family "Bacterial small subunit ribosomal RNA", at positions 903 to 1533 of the family's 1533-position model. Lineage: Bacteria; Pseudomonadati; Pseudomonadota; Alphaproteobacteria; Hyphomicrobiales; Nitrobacteraceae. The record is from RNAcentral.
AAAGGAAUUGACAGGGGCCCGCACAAGCGGUGGAGCAUGUGGUUUAAUUCGACGCAACGCGCAGAACCUUACCAGCCCUUGACAUGUCCAGACCGGUCGCAGAGAUGUGACCUUCUCUUCGGAGCCUGGAGCACAGGUGCUGCAUGGCUGUCGUCAGCUCGUGUCGUGAGAUGUUGGGUUAAGUCCCGCAACGAGCGCAACCCCCGUCCUUAGUUGCUACCAUUUAGUUGAGCACUCUAAGGAGACUGCCGGUGAUAAGCCGCGAGGAAGGUGGGGAUGACGUCAAGUCCUCAUGGCCCUUACGGGCUGGGCUACACACGUGCUACAAUGGCGGUGACAAUGGGAUGCAAAGGCGCGAGCCCUAGCAAAUCUACAAAAAGCCGUCUCAGUUCGGAUUGGGCUCUGCAACUCGAGCCCAUGAAGUUGGAAUCGCUAGUAAUCGUGGAUCAGCAUGCCACGGUGAAUACGUUCCCGGGCCUUGUACACACCGCCCGUCACACCAUGGGAGUUGGUUUUACCUGAAGGUAGUGCGCUAACCCGCAAGGGAGGCAGCUAACCACGGUAGGGUCAGCGACUGGGGUGAAGUCGUAACAAGGUAGCCGUAGGGGAACCUGCGGCUGGAUCACCUCCUUU